CUGAAGUUUGUUACGCGCGAGUUCUACCGACUCACUGUUAAGCGCAACGUGGUUCAAGAUCAACAUUAAGAGUGACAUGGCUGGACUGGACGAUAACGCCGACCUAAUUUUUCAACUUUCUGAGGAGGGAAGGACGCAUGCCGAAAUUGCCAGCGCACUCCGACAGAUGGGUGCACUACGAUGCUCCGAAAUGUCAGUCAGAAGAUUCUGCAAUCGGCACCAGCUCAGACGAAAAGGACAUGUUUCCGAUGCAGAAUUGGAAGUAGCAGUCAUUUCCUCAAUUGAUAAAAACCUACGAGUUGAAAGAAUUUGGCCAGAGGUCCAUAAUCGAGUGAACUACCCCCUAAAACAAGCUCUUGUUCACUUGCUGGAUCAAGAGUUGAAUUUUGUAUCUCCAAUCUGUCAUGUCAAGUGAGUCAAACUGGACUUGGCAGGGUUGUCCAGUCGUGGAAUGCACACAGAAUCCCUGGAAGGGGGAUACCGAACGAUCUUGCUGCUGGUGGUUGUGCAGCAAGAAUUCCCCCAGAGAUGCUGCCCAGUGCUGGUGAAGCAGCACAAACGUAUGAGCUGGAGUUGGGGUCGUCCCUGACUUGGAACUCAUCCUUUGGCUCUGAUCCAUUUUCAUCAGAGGAAGGCCGACUUUAUGCUGAGCAGCUGUUAGGAGAGCGGAUUCCUGACAUUUCUCUUCUUUUUGACUCUGUUGUGAACAAUGACCACAGUAUGUUUCAAGAAGCACUGUUGUACC
Synchiropus splendidus (mandarinfish) is the source of this 745-nucleotide long non-coding RNA. RefSeq lists it as uncharacterized. The record is from RefSeq and is a predicted model, not a curated record. The transcript has 3 exons. Lineage: Eukaryota; Metazoa; Chordata; Actinopteri; Syngnathiformes; Callionymidae.